This 450-nucleotide ribosomal RNA is filed under the name uncultured bacterium. Its description in RNAcentral is "partial 16S ribosomal RNA". It matches the Rfam family "Bacterial small subunit ribosomal RNA", at positions 354 to 796 of the family's 1533-position model. The record is from RNAcentral.
GUGGGGAAUAUUGGACAAUGGGCGAAAGCCUGAUCCAGCCAUGCCGCGUGUGUGAAGAAGGUCUUCGGAUUGUAAAGCACUUUAAGUUGGGAGGAAGGGCAGUAAGUUAAUACCUUGCUGUUUUGACGUUACCGACAGAAUAAGCACCGGCUAACUUCGUGCCAGCAGCCGCGGUAAUACGAAGGGUGCAAGCGUUAAUCGGAAUUACUGGGCGUAAAGCGCGCGUAGGUGGCUUUGUAAGUUGGAGGUGAAAUCCCCGGGCUCAACCUGGGAACUGCCUCCAAAACUGCAUGACUAGAGUACGGUAGAGGGUAGUGGAAUUUCCUGUGUAGCGGUGAAAUGCGUAGAUAUAGGAAGGAACACCAGUGGCGAAGGCGACUACCUGGACUGAUACUGACACUGAGGUGCGAAAGCGUGGGGAGCAAACAGGAUUAGAAACCCCAGUAGUCC